Molecule: non-coding RNA, 327 nt
Organism: Capsicum annuum
Lineage: Eukaryota; Viridiplantae; Streptophyta; Magnoliopsida; Solanales; Solanaceae
Source: Rfam
GGCCGCCUUGAAGUACAAUUUCCACCGAGUGGUGGGUAGAAUCCUUUGCAGACGACUUAAAUACGGGACGUGGCGGUCGACGGCAAUGUUAGAAAGUCCGUAGACGUCGUCGGGAGCCUCGGAAAGAGUUAUCUUUUCUGUUUAACAGUGUGCCCACCCUGGAAUUGGAUCAACCGGAGGUAGGGUCCAGCGGCUGGAAGAGCACAGCGCGUCGCGUGGUGUUCGGUGCGCUCCAGGAGGCCCUUGGAAAUCCGGAGGACCAAAUGUCGUCCACUCCCGGUUGUACUCAUAACCACAUCAGGUCUCCAAGGUGAACAGACUCUGGUC